UACGGAGGGUGCAAGCGUUAUCCGGAUUCACUGGGUUUAAAGGGUGCGUAGGUGGGUCUGUAAGUCAGUGGUGAAAUCUCCGAGCUUAACUCGGAAACUGCCAUUGAUACUAUAGGUCUUGAAUUAUCUAGAGGUGAGCGGAAUAUGUCAUGUAGCGGUGAAAUGCUUAGAUAUGACAUAGAACACCAAUUGCGAAGGCAGCCCACUACGGAUAUAUUGACACUGAGGCACGAAAGCGUGGGGAUCAAACAGG
RNAcentral lists this ribosomal RNA (253 nucleotides) under uncultured bacterium. Its description in RNAcentral is "partial 16S ribosomal RNA". It matches the Rfam family "Bacterial small subunit ribosomal RNA", at positions 524 to 776 of the family's 1533-position model. The record is from RNAcentral.